This 1830-nucleotide ribosomal RNA is filed under the name human gut metagenome. Its description in RNAcentral is "bacterial LSU rRNA". It matches the Rfam family "Bacterial large subunit ribosomal RNA", at positions 1101 to 2925 of the family's 2925-position model. The record is from RNAcentral.
UUGGCUUAGAAGCAGCCAUCGUUUAAAGAAAGCGUAAUAGCUCACUGGUCUAAUGGCUCUGCGCCGAAAAUGUAACGGGGCUAAGCAUGGUACCGAAGCUUUGGCAAUCUCUUUUGAGAUUGGGUAGGGGAGCGUUCGCUACGGGCUGAAGGUGUGCCGGAAGGCAUGCUGGACUGUAGUGAAGUGAUUAUGCUGACAUGAGUAACGAUAAAAUAUGUGAAAAACAUAUUCGCCGAAAACCCGAGGUUUCCUGGGUAAAGGUAAUCUUCCCAGGGUUAGUCGGAUCCUAAGGUGAGGGCGAAAGCCGUAGCCGAUGGUAAACAAGUUAAUAUUCUUGUACUUGUCGUGUAGCGCGAUGGAGGGACGCAGGAAGAUAGGCGGGCCGGGUGUUGGAUAUCCCGGUGCAAGCGUGUAGGAGUGUCCGGUAGGCAAAUCCGCCGGAUGUAUCUGAGACGCGAGUCCGUGGGCGCAAGCCCUGAAGCCGUUGAGUCUAUGCUGCCUAGAAAAGCUCCUAAGUAUAUCCACGGCAAUCCGUACCGCAAACCAACUCAGGUGGGUGGGAUGAACAAUCCAAGGCGCUCGAGAGAACUCUGGCCAAGGAACUCGGCAAAAUAACCCCGUAACUUCGGAAGAAGGGGUGCUCUCUAGGGUGACAUGUUUAACAUAUGAAGCCCCGGAGAGCCGCAGUGAAUUGGUGGUGGCGACUGUUUACUAAAAACAUAGGUCUGUGCGAAGUCCUAAAGACGACGUAUACGGACUGACGCCUGCCCGGUGCUGGAAGGUUAAAAGGAGGAGUCAGCGCAAGCAAAGCUCCGAAUUGAAGCCCCAGUAAACGGCGGCCGUAACUAUAACGGUCCUAAGGUAGCGAAAUUCCUUGUCGGGUAAGUUCCGACCUGCACGAAUGGCGUAACGAUCUCCACACUGUCUCGGCCAGAGACUCGGUGAAAUUGCAGUCGCGGUGAAAAUUCCGUGUACCCGCAGAAAGACGGAAAGACCCUGUGCACCUUUACUAUAGCUUGACAUUGGAUUUUGGACCUACAUGUGUAGGAUAGGUGGGAGGCAGUGAACCAUGCACGCCAGUGUGUGGGGAGCCAACGUUGAAAUACCACCCUUGUAUGUUUAAGAUCCUAACGUCCACCAGUAAUCCUGGGGACAGACAGUGUCUGGCGGGUAGUUUGACUGGGGCGGUCGCCUCCUAAAGUGUAACGGAGGCAUGCAAAGGUUCCCUCAGCCUGAUCGGAAACCAGGCGCUGAGUGCAAACGCAUAAGGGAGCUUGACUGUAAGAGAGACAUCUCGAACAGGAACGAAAGUUGGCGUUAGUGAUCCGGUGGUCCCGAAUGGAAGGGCCAUCGCUCAUUGGAUAAAAGGUACGCCGGGGAUAACAGGCUGAUCGCAUCCAAGAGUUCACAUCGACGAUGCGGUUUGGCACCUCGAUGUCGGCUCAUCACAUCCUGGGGCUGAAGCAGGUCCCAAGGGUACGGCUGUUCGCCGUUUAAAGUGGUACGCGAGCUGGGUUUAAAACGUCGUGAGACAGUUUGGUCCCUAUCUUCUGUGGGCGAAGGAGAAUUGAGAGGGCCUGUCCCUAGUACGAGAGGACCGGGAUGGACGCACCCCUGGUGAUCCUGUUGUCGCGCCAGCGGCAUAGCAGGGUAGCUAUGUGCGGAAGGGAUAACCGCUGAAAGCAUCUAAGCGGGAAGCCUGCCUCAAGAUAAGUUCUCCCCUCGAAAGAGCUGAAGGACCCAGAUAGACUAUCUGGUUGAUAGGCUGGAGGUGUAAGCGUGGCGACAUGCUCAGCUGACCAGUACUAAUAGUCCGAGCGGCUUAUUUUU